RNAcentral lists this unclassified non-coding RNA (329 nucleotides) under soil metagenome. RNAcentral's name for it is "partial contains 5.8S ribosomal RNA, internal transcribed spacer 2, and large subunit ribosomal RNA". The stretch from base 1 to 120 matches the Rfam family "5.8S ribosomal RNA", at positions 35 to 154 of the family's 154-position model. The record is from RNAcentral.
GAUGAAGAACGCAGCGAAAUGCGAUAAGUAGUGUGAAUUGCAGAAUUCAGUGAAUCAUCGAAUCUUUGAACGCACAUUGCGCCCCUUGGUAUCCCGAGGGGCAUGCCUGUUCGAGCGUCAUUUCACCACUCAAGCCUGGCUUGGUGUUGGGCGACGUCCCCUUUGGGGACGCGCCUCGAAACGCUCGGCGGCGUGGCACCGGCUUUAAGCGUAGCAGAAUCUUUCGCUUUGGAAGUCGGGGCCCCGUCUGCCGGAAGACCUACUCGCAAGGUUGACCUCGGAUCAGGCAUGGAUACCCGCUGAACUUAAGCAUAUCAAUAAGCGGAGGA